RNAcentral lists this ribosomal RNA (217 nucleotides) under Synergistaceae bacterium. RNAcentral's name for it is "partial 16S ribosomal RNA". It matches the Rfam family "Bacterial small subunit ribosomal RNA", at positions 1 to 188 of the family's 1533-position model. The record is from RNAcentral. Lineage: Bacteria; Thermotogati; Synergistota; Synergistia; Synergistales; Synergistaceae.
GCCAAGGAGAGUUUGAUCCUGGCUCAGGAUGAACGCUGGCGGCGUGCUUAACACAUGCAAGUCGGACGGGGUUAUGUGGAGCCUUUUCGAGUAGUUUACUAUGAGGGAGAGGAAGCGUAACUUAGUGGCGGACGGGUGAGUAACGCGUGAGGACCUGUCCAUAGCAGGGGGACAACAGCUGGAAACGGCUGCUAAUACCGCGUAUGCGCGGCGAAAG